This 99-nucleotide transfer RNA is filed under the name Leptolyngbya sp. Cla-17. RNAcentral's name for it is "tRNA-Pro". Lineage: Bacteria; Bacillati; Cyanobacteriota; Cyanophyceae; Leptolyngbyales; Leptolyngbyaceae. The record is from RNAcentral.
CGGGAUGUAAUUCAGCGGUCUAGAAGCCUUGGUUUGGGACCAAGGAGUCGUGGGUACCCUUUGGGAACGCUUCGCGAACAAAUCCUACCAUCCCGACCA